Molecule: ribosomal RNA, 419 nt
Filed under: uncultured bacterium
Lineage: Bacteria
Description: bacterial SSU rRNA
Rfam family: Bacterial small subunit ribosomal RNA
Source: RNAcentral
CAAGUCGCACGCAGGCUUCGGCUUGAGUGGCAGACGGCUGAGUAACGCGUGGGUGACGUACCUGUUGGUGGGGAAUAACUGCCCGAAAGGGUGGCUAAUACCGCAUACGUCUGCUGGUUCGGUUCAGCAGGCAAAGCCGCAAGGCGCCGAUGGAGCGGCCCGCGUUCGAUUAGCUGGUUGGUGGGGUAACGGCCUACCAAGGCGACGAUCGAUAGCUGGUCUCAGAGGAUGAUCAGCCAGACUGGGACUGAGACAAGGCCCAGACUCCUACGGGAGGCAGCAGUUAGGAAUUUUGGGCAAUGGGCGCAAGCCUGACCCAGCAACGCCGCGUGGGUGACGAAGGCCUUCGGGUUGUAAAGCCCUUUUGGAGGGGAAGAUGAUGACGGUACCCUCCGAAGAAGCACCGGCUAACUACGUGC